RNAcentral lists this ribosomal RNA (460 nucleotides) under uncultured bacterium. RNAcentral describes it as "partial 16S ribosomal RNA". It matches the Rfam family "Bacterial small subunit ribosomal RNA", at positions 338 to 795 of the family's 1533-position model. The record is from RNAcentral.
CCUACGGGAGGCAGCAGUGAGGAAUAUUGGUCAAUGGACGAGAGUCUGAACCAGCCAAGUAGCGUGAAGGAUGACUGCCCUAUGGGUUGUAAACUUCUUUUAUAUGGGAAUAAAAUGUUCCACGUGUGGGAUUUUGUAUGUACCAUAUGAAUAAGGAUCGGCUAACUCCGUGCCAGCAGCCGCGGUAAUACGGAGGAUCCGAGCGUUAUCCGGAUUUAUUGGGUUUAAAGGGAGCGUAGGUGGAUUGUUAAGUCAGUUGUGAAAGUUUGCGGGUCAACCGUAAAAUUGCAGUUGAAACUGGCAGUCUUGAGUACAGUAGAGGUGGGCGGAAUUCGUGGUGUAGCGGUGAAAUGCUUAGAUAUCACGAAGAACUCCGAUUGCGAAGGCAGUUCACUGGACUGCAACUGACACUGAGGCUCGAAAGUGUGGGUAUCAAACAGGAUUAGAUACCCCAGUAGUC